AAAAUGAAAAUUAGAAAAAAAAAAAGGAUAACAAAAUCAAUCACUUGAAAGGACAAUUAGAAUGAAACUGGACAUUCAUUUAUUAUCCUACAAAUUUGAAGUGCUUUUAAUGAACUGAACUGUGAAUUUGUUAACAGCAAGAAGCUACUUUCGUUUGCAAGAAAAGUGUACAUGGUUUGCUACACACAACAGAAGUAAUUUACUGUGUUUAGUUUUGAAGUACAUCUAAGCAAAGCAAUUUAAAACUAUAGUUCACUAUGAUCAUGUGGCAGAGUAAAAUUUCCCGGUGCAUUCAAGAACUGCUGAUCCAAAAGCUUAAACUCAAAUGUGAAGGCAGAAUUGAAGUUAUGAUAGUUUAAACUUUUGAAGCAGUGUUCGUUAAACAUAAAGACUCAUAAUUAUAUUUCCAUAUUUAUGGAUCCUUGGCUCCUAGUAGCACUGUGGAGGAAGAAAUAGUUCAAUUGCAUCUACAUUAAUGAAGAAGAACAGGUUAUUCCUUGUUUUGAAGCAAAUUAUACUAACCCAUCCAUUAUUGCAGCAGUAUCAAAGACACCAUGCCCCCUAUGCACCAUAUGAUCAUCCAUGGGUAUCACCAUAGCUGCUGGAUCUGUUGUUAUUCCACCAAAAAUGCUAGAGUACAUUGCCAGGAAUUGCUGCUUCCCUUUGUGCUUUUCUCUGUUAGUUCUUAGUCUUUCAAU
RNAcentral lists this unclassified non-coding RNA (698 nucleotides) under Hevea brasiliensis (rubber tree). The record is from RNAcentral. Lineage: Eukaryota; Viridiplantae; Streptophyta; Magnoliopsida; Malpighiales; Euphorbiaceae.